Molecule: long non-coding RNA, 3850 nt
Filed under: Sus scrofa (pig)
Lineage: Eukaryota; Metazoa; Chordata; Mammalia; Artiodactyla; Suidae
Description: lncRNA (ENSSSCG00060054715.1)
Source: RNAcentral
AGAUGAAGUGUGACAUUCUGGGAGGACACCUGUCAUUGGGUUGUUAGUGUAUCAUUGCAUUGGGCCUGCUUGAACACGAUAUUCUAGCACAGAGAGAAAAGUGUCCCUUGGGAGCUUGCUACAGUAGGGUCCUGCUAGGAGGUCUGUUGAUGUCAGGAGGUGCAGGGCUUAGAAGAAGGUGCAUUAGUCCUUCAGGCUGCUUAGUGCAGAUGGAACAAGUACUUAUAUAUCACAUAUGCAGCAUCCUUAGGGAUCCUGUGUGUUGCUGUGAACAGGCUGCAUUAGCAAAUGGUGAAAUGCUUCAUCAGUUUAGAUAAACUGUCUUGCCAUGCUCAUAUUCUAGGUCUUAUCAACAAUCCCAGCUGCUUGCUUUGAUCAUUUCAGUUGGUUUUUAACUAGAUUGGUUUUGACUAAAUUAUAAAAUAUAAUUUCCAAGGGUAGAGUCCCAUGGUACUUCAGACUCCAGGUUAAAACAUCUGGAAAAUUUUCCUGUCUGAUACAUAAGAAGUGGAACUGGGAGUUCCCGUCAUGGUGCAGUGGUUAACGAAUCCGACUAGGAAUGCUGAGCUUGCGGGUUCGAUCUCUGGCCUUGCUCAGUGGGUUAAGGAUCUGGCGUCGCAGUGAGCUGUGGUGUAGGUUGCAGAUGUGGCUCGGAUCCCAUGUUGCUAUGGCUCUGGCGUAGGCCGGCAGCUACAGAUCUGAUUCGACCCCUAGCCUGGGAAUCUCCAUAUGCCACGAGGGCGGCCCUAGAAAAAUACAAAGAAAAAAGAAAGAAAGAAAAAAAAGAAGUGGAACCGUAAAUGUUCUUAAAAGGGCUGCAAUAUCUCCAGCUUGGCUGACAUUAAACUGUCAUGUUUUUCUCUAAGAUUGCUGUCAUCUGUUGCCAGACACCUGACCUCUUGUAUAAAGUUUCUAAGGCUUAGAUAGGAGUUUGAUAGCUAGAAACUCUUUCUCCCCCCUUAAGACACUUGUUCUCCCAUUUAAAGGGGAAGGACUAGGGCAGCAGCCCUUGGAUAUAAAGUCAUUUUAGACUUGGUGUCCUAUACUAAUUGCCAUAGGCAUUCGUUGUAAUACAGAGGGAGCGAAAGAUUUUGUUUUUGAUUGAGGCAUAGUUGAUUUACAGUGUUGUGCCGAUUUCUGCUAUACAGCCAAAUGACCCAGGCAUACACAUAUAUGCAUUCAUUUUCUCCUACUAUCUUCUAUCAUGUUCUAGCCCAAGAGAUUAGAUAUAUUUCUCUGUGCUAUAGAGUAGGGUCUCACUGCUUGAGAGUUCAGGGAGAGCAGAUGGAAAGUUAUUUUAAAAUGUAAGUUCCAUCUCAAAGCUAGUUAGACAUGUGCUACAAUCAAAGUAAAGCCAAGUCCAUGUGACCUAUUCUUCCUCCAGUGUUGUAUUCUAAGAAAUUCCAUGCCUGCAUCUUAAAGAAAUUUUAAAACAUUUAUAUCUUAAUGCACUCUCUUGAGAAAACAACAAAUGGGGGUUAUUUUUCUAAUGCAACGAAAAAGUUCUUAAAGAUUCUAUUUCCCUAACUCUUUCAACUCUUCCUCUCGGAAUCUUACAGAGACUUUUCUGAAUCCUCUCAGCUCUUGCUAAAAUCCCAGAAAAAUUCUUCAUCUACUCAGUCUGAGUGAAAUCUUCUCUUCGCUUCUCCUCCCAUGCUCUUUUGUGGACCAGACCCACCAGUGGUUUUCCAUACUUUAAAAAAAAAUAAACAAACUAAAGUUGGUUUUGUGUCUCUCGCUUUUCCCAGUCAAUCAUCAUCCCAAUUCUAAACAAUGAAGAGACAGAAAUUGAGCAGGGAGUCUGAUUUCUCUUAAGCAGAGAGAGAGGAGAAUUUUCUUGUCACACAAACUGACCCCCAGAUUUCUCAUUUCUCCAGCAAAUGAAUAUAUUGUAUACCUAUUGACUCUAAAGUUGCACCAGCCUCAUUUGAAUUCAGAGCUGCCAAUGUUGAAUAUUUGACUUUGGGCAAAUCAGGCACUUUCUCCUCUCUCAGUGGUGUUAUUAAUAGCUUCAACCCAGGGAUGUUGAGAGGAUUCCUUGGAUCAUAUAGGGGAGGUUUCUGUUGUGAAUGGCACUCAGUUAGCUUGCAGCAAAAACUAGUUUCCUUUGAAUAGGGCUCUGCCUGUGAUAAUUAUAACUGGCCAGUCAUAAUUAUGAUGAUUGGUUCACCACUUUUUUCUUGGGCAUGUUAAGACGAGUUCAAAAAUUUGUCCAAAGAGAUUGGUUGCUUUUACAUUUGACCUUGAACUGUAUAAUGCUCAUGCUGCAAAUAAUUUUAAAAGGCUUAAUAUUUGAAUACCAGGAAAAGAACACGGAGAGAAUAAAUUUUAACGUGGUUCUUGGCAAAUUCAUUCUCAUACAUGAAGCUGGAUAUUUUAAGGGGGUGCUUUCUCUUAUUUCUUCACUUAUGUUGACAGAAAUCCCUUGAACAUGAUCAGUGCUAAAGUCUCACUAUGGAUACUAUUUAAUAUCCUCACCUUCUAGAAUUGAAAAUAUCCUCCAUCUGGAGUUCCCAUCAUGGCUCAGUGGAAACAAAUCUGACCAAAAUCAUGAGGAAGCAAGUUCGAUCCCUGGCCUUGCUCAGUGGGUUAAGGAUCCAGGGUUGCCAUGGAGCUCUGGUGUAGGUUGCAGACGAGGCUCGGAUCCCACUUUGAUGUGGCUGUGAUUCGAUUCGACACCUAGUCUGGGAACCUCCAUAUGCCAUGAGUGUGGCCCUUAAAAAACAAAACAAAAAAAAAUCUUUUUAAAAAUUUUUUUCCUCUAUCCCUAUUGACUUUCACUUGCCUUUGUCUGUUUUUUGUAAUUAACUGUAAAAGAGUGGUUCUCAUAAAUGUGGCAUGACCCUUUUAUUUUAAAAUAGUUUUUAUUACUGUUUACAUUUGUUUCAAGGGAAAUAGUCACAUAAUUUAAGUAUCAGCCUAAUCCUCAAGUAGAGCAGUUCUGGUGUACUUUGCAUUAAUGUGUUUAUAUCUAAAAAUGGAACAACAUGCUGAGUCAGUAAGAAGAGAAGCCUUCUUAAGCCUUUAGAAGUCAUUUUAACUGAGCUGAAAAAUUUGCUUUCAUCGAAUCAGUGGUCCACUAGAACAACUAAUUAAUAUAUAACUCAGAAAUUCUUUUAAAUCAAGAUGUUUAUAUUUUUCUUAAAGAAUCAUAGUUUGCAUCAAGGUACUUUAAUCAGUUGGGGUCAGAUGGAUGGACUGUAUCUGUGUUAGUAUAUGUUUUAUUCAACAAGAACGAAUAUUCUUUCGCUCAGGGAUUUAGGGAAUGAAGUUGUUCAUUUAUGAAAACAAAAAUACCAAAGAUGUCUCAGAGUAAAUACAACUCAAGCUGAAAAGGGCCUUUGUAUUUGAAAAUAGAAAGUCCCUAAUCAUUUUUUUUUUUUUUAAUAAUGCGAAGACUAGAGGGAGUGAAUGCUAUCCAAGGGGAUUUGAAGAUGAAGAAUUAGAGAAGAAAUACAUGCAGGCAGUUUACCAUCUCUUUAAAAAUCGUCCUCACUAGCAGCUUCAGGAGGGGCAAACAGGCAAAGGAAGGUUAUGUUAGAAUGCACUUGAAUAUGUCUGUAGGCUGACGGGAAGAUAGAAAAAUUCAUAUUGAUCCUCACAGGUUAAACACCUGCCUGACAUUUGAUAUUUUGAGCUGAAGCAGGAAUUUAAUCCUAUUUUCCUUUGACUGCAAAGACUACAAGGUAAUCCGCCCUCUGCAAAUCUCUGUCGGGCCCAUAGGUGAAGGAAAGUGGGGAGAAAAAGAAGAAAACUGGAGUAGUAACUGCAGAGGAUCUGGUGGCUGGAUAGGAUGCAACUCUUUGUCCUAAAGUGGUGUACCUUCCUCAUUGAUAGAAAAAAAAAAAAA